Molecule: RNA transcript, 2137 nt
Organism: Rhodamnia argentea
Lineage: Eukaryota; Viridiplantae; Streptophyta; Magnoliopsida; Myrtales; Myrtaceae
Gene name: chaperone protein dnaJ 1, mitochondrial
Exons: 20
Source: RefSeq, a predicted model, not a curated record
CGGUUUAAUCAAACCGUUGCAUAAACCCUAGCUAAACCCUCCCCCAAGGCUCAAGCAAAGCACCAAUGGCGUUGCUUUCUUUGCCUUGAUGUUCAAGCCACGCCUUUGACCUCUGUCUCCGAAUCUUCCUUCCUCGCUAGUUUUCCGAUCGUACUUCAAUCUUCAAUCGCCCUUGAUUCUGGGGGCAGCAUUUUGCGUCUUUUCAAGAUUUGAUUUCGCAUGGGCAGAUUCAGCUGGUUACGAUCGUGCCGGCGCCGGUUGUUGUCUUCCAUCACGGGUCAGACGAAUUCGAUUGUGAAUAGUUCGGUUUCGGAUUCGCGGAGGGCGUUCUUGCUCGCCCGAACUGAAGCUUUUCAUCAUUCAGCUUCGUACAGUUGCGGUCUUUUUACUGGAAAUCCUAUUGACCGGGAGACCUUGAGGUCGCCUUGGAGGUAUCGGUGUCUUCAUGCAACAGGCUCUUGUCGCUACCCAGAAAGAAGCUAUUAUGAUGUUCUUGGUGUUUCGGAGAAUGCCAGCCGAGCUGAGAUUAAGAAGGCUUUUCAUAUGCUUGCAAAGAAGCACCAUCCCGACGCAAAUAAGAAUAAUCCUUCUGCAAAGAGGAAAUUUCAAGAGAUAAGAGAUGCUUAUGAGACUUUGCAAAGUCCUGAAAAAAGAGCAGAGUAUGACAGGAAACGCUCUAGAAGGUCAGUAAAUGUUGAAUAUGGUGAAGGAAAUGCUGAGGGGUUCGCACAUGAGUACGAGAGGCAUUUCUCUAGUUCCUUCCACAAGAUAUUUUCUGAGAUUUUUGAGGACGAGACAGAUCAAUUUGCAUCUGAUGUUCAGGUUGAAUUGAUACUUUCUUUCGUUGAGGCUGCGGAAGGGUGCACAAAAGAUCUGUCCUUUGAAGCACAUGUUCCUUGUGAUUCUUGUGAUGGGCGUGGCCAUCCACCUGGUGUCAAGGCGAGAGUGUGUCCAACUUGCAGAGGCAUUGGCAGGGUCACAAUUCCCCCAUUUUCAGCGACAUGCACUACCUGUAACGGCUCGGGGAGAGUUGUCAAGGAGCAAUGCAUUUCAUGUGGAGGAUCAGGAGUUGUCGAAGGCACUAAGGAAGUUAAAGUUACUAUUCCUGCAGGUGUGGAUUCAGGAGAUACAAUUCGCGUGCCAGGGGCUGGUAAUGCUGGAGCGCGGAGGAGGCAACCUGGCAACUUAUUCAUCAAAUUAAAGAUGGCUGAAGAUCGUACCUUUACCAGAGACGGUGCAGAUGUAUAUGUGGUCUCAGAAAUUAGCUUCACACAAGCAAUUCUUGGUGGUAAAGUGGAGGUCCCAACUUUAUCGGGGAAAGUCCAAGUUGAUAUACCAAAGGGGGUACAGCCUGGACAGCUUGUGGUUCUAAGAAGGAAAGGACUACCAAAACAUGGUUUUCUUGUCACUCAUGGAGAUCAAUUUGUGCGAUUUCGUGUUAAAUUCCCCAGUGAGAUAAAUGAACGACAACGCGCAAUUUUAGAAGAACUUGCUAAAGAGGAGAUUAAUAGUGAAAACAAUACUCAUCAAGAAGGAAAUUGGUGGGCACAAUUUCUCGAACGCAUGGCGAGUCCUAAGUUUAUGCUUGAAAUGUCACUGGUCCUGUUGAUCCUUAUGCUUUUGAAGAAAGUGAUGGCUUGAGCACAUGCCUCAAAUUUGCGGUCAGAUUGGAUCGGAUGAUACUUCUGAUUGAGACUGGUUGUGCUGGAGGAUUCCCCCAGAUUAUAUUCUUAGGUCGAGUUAUAUCGAUAGAAGGCAUCAUAUUUUUAUGGAGGUGAUCAUAGUUGCUCAAUUGCAAUCUCAUCAAAGCCAUUCUUUUGCCCCCGCAACUCACCAUUUUUUCAAGGAUAACGAGCGAUAACAUUUUUUUCUCACUGAGUCGUCAAUUCAUGUCAUAUUUCUCCUAUGAUUGUUGCUCAAACGUACCUCCUGGUGCGGACUUCAUUUGACAAUAUGACAAGUAGCCGGGCAUAGAGAAAUUAGAAGAAUGUAAGAACUUUGAGAUUUUUCUUGGAGUUUUAUUUAUUUAUUUAUUUCUUUUAUCAUUUUUCCUCUUUUGUAUUUUAUGUACAUUUUCUUCAUGUUCGAUGUGACAGUGAGGCACCUCUCUUCGAAGCACAUGAAUGCAAAUGUCGAC